This is a long non-coding RNA of Cyprinus carpio carpio, 1393 nucleotides long. Lineage: Eukaryota; Metazoa; Chordata; Actinopteri; Cypriniformes; Cyprinidae. The record is from Ensembl.
AAAUUUUAUUAACAUCUUAACCAUAAAUAGUUCUCACUUUAAAUGAGGUCACGGGAAGUCUGAAAAUGUCAUUAAGUGCUUUAAAACAUCCUUUAUUCAACAUUAAUUGCAUUUGUAUUCAGUGUUCCUCACAAUUUUUACAAAUAAAUUAAGCUUAUCCUCAAAGCUAAACAAAACCUCUUUAAAAAAGUAAAUAACAUAAUGCUCUCAAUAUGACAUACAAACACUAUUUAUGGUUAAUAAUUUGUUAACAAGUAUUAUAUAACGGUUUACAUAUGAGCAAAUGAAACAAUAACACUUUGUUGCUAACUUAGUGAGGCUUCCUCCACAACUGCCUGCCGUGCAUGGUUGUCUUGUUGCCAAAGUUACCUAGUGGGUGGUCUGCAUCCCACUUUUUUCUUCUUCCUUUGGCCACUGUACAGGAUUGCACUGUGGAGGAUAACACAAGUAUACACAAACAUUUGAACUAAUGUUUUUGAGCUAGUUAGGACAAGCACAAGAACAGGGACUAAUUAUUAAACCACUCCAACAAGACAUUUUUGUGAUGCUUAACAUACAUUUCCAGCAAAAUUUCAUUUUUGGUCAUUUCAUUUUUUCAUUUUAAGUUUAAGUGCAUAAGCAAAAUUAAAAUAAUCUAAUAAAAUAAAUAAAUAAUAAUAAUAAUAAUAAAAACUUUCUCUGUAGUGCUGUUCAAUAAGAGAGAUGCACGAGCUCGUGAGCAAGUGUCACUCCGUCGCGUGGGAUGAAUCGCACUGACGUCACUCAGUGACUCAACCGCUCAUCCUUAGUAAAAGUAACGCAGCUGUGAGUAACAACUCCUCUAGUCUCGGCUCAUCAGUUAUUAAUUCCUGAUGGAGGGUACAUGUUCAUAUGGCGGUGUUACAGGUGGAGGAAGGCUCUAUGGUGGGUUCUUGAAGGAAUUUAAACUGCGCAAUUCUUCCUCAUUAGCUCAUACACACAGAGAUCGGUUUUCAGCUCAUAUCACAGAAACAAAACAUCAUGAAAACGUCUUUAUGAAAACGCUGGAAUCUUUCUUGUCAUCUGCACAGCUGUCCAGCAGCUGGGAUUUUUCCUUCACCCCUGCAGUGGGAUGGCAAAUGAUGUCACUAUUGCUGAUGCAUCUGCAGCCAGUAGAAAAGGGCCAUUGGUGCCAGUUUGUGAAGAGCUUCUUCCUGAUUGAGCUCAGGGAGAUGAACAGCUUGGAGAGCAAAUCAUCAUGGAGAAGAGAAAGGCUCAAAUUGAAAGCGAGGGAAAGUGUAGUGAUCUCUGUUGAGAUCUGCAGUGGAGGGAUUCUCAGACUCAUCAGCGCGGUGAGUAUUCACAGGACGCUUUCUUCUCUCCAGAACAAGGUACAUCACGAGUGAACAUCUACAGUAAUUGCUUUUGUAUGUGC